RNAcentral lists this ribosomal RNA (247 nucleotides) under uncultured bacterium. Its description in RNAcentral is "partial 16S ribosomal RNA". It matches the Rfam family "Bacterial small subunit ribosomal RNA", at positions 523 to 769 of the family's 1533-position model. The record is from RNAcentral.
AUACGUAGGGUGCGAGCGUUAAUCGGAAUUACUGGGCGUAAAGCGUGCGCAGGCGGUUUCGUAAGACAGAUGUGAAAUCCCCGGGCUUAACCUGGGAACUGCGUUUGUGACUGCGAGACUCGAGUGUGGCAGAGGGGGGUGGAAUUCCACGUGUAGCAGUGAAAUGCGUAGAGAUGUGGAGGAACACCGAUGGCGAAGGCAGCCCCCUGGGUUAACACUGACGCUCAUGCACGAAAGCGUGGGGAGC